Molecule: long non-coding RNA, 897 nt
Filed under: Marmota monax (woodchuck)
Lineage: Eukaryota; Metazoa; Chordata; Mammalia; Rodentia; Sciuridae
Source: RNAcentral
AUAAAGAGAGCACGUGAAACAAACACAAAUAAAAAAGAAAGUUACUUUAGAAAAGAAGCAUUUCUAUUUUGAGUUCUGCAACUGGACAAUGAAGAUAGUAGAUGAUGUCUCUGAACUAUCAUCCCUCGUGACUUUGGCAUGGAGGCACAUUGUCAAUCAAGACAGAACAGAGUAAAAAUCCGAAUGAUGGGUUAUUGUUGGAUAUUCUGCAUCUUUGUUCCAUUCUCUGCCUGUCAGGAAAGGGCCAACAAUGAGGUUCCAGAAAAUGCAGUGGCAAUAUGGUAUGUUGGGUCACUGUCUGGCUAAGCUACCCCUCUUAUCCUUUGGGGACCUCUCUUUCCACCCCAACAGGCUUGCCUUGCUGAGGAUCGAGCCCUCUCACUGAGGGGAAGGCAGAUGUCUGCCCAGGAGUAAAUAGUACUAGUGCCGGGCAUGCUAGAAGCUAUUGUUUGUAUUCUACUUCUGAUCUAGGAAGAGAAUAUAUUAGUUUUACUGUGGGAAACCUCCAAGGAGAUACAAGGAGAGGCAACAUAGAGUCUCCAAAUUUGUCCACUAAUUAAAUGUUCAAAUUAUUAAAUAGAAAAUAAUGCAUACUGCUUAUGAAAUCAGAAAGACUGAAAAUUUUAAGGAUGGAAGGCCAAAUUAGUCAAUAUAUUAGGAUUUAGGUGAAGUUUGGUUUGCCGACACUAUUGCUAUCCACAGUCUCUCCUGACAUCCCCUCCAUUCCCACCUUGUAAGGCUCAUAGUUGGAUCACAAAACAGCACUACUGCCAGUAACCAAUUCCAUGUUGCAGAAGAUAGGUGAUUUUCUAACUAUCUCCUUAUCUUUUUGAUAAGAAGAUCUGUGAUUUUAAAAAAUAUUUUUUCAAGAUAGCUUACAAAGCAUUUUUGAAAUAU